UUCGUCGGUCUCCAUGGGUCCCUCCGCUCCUCUCGCCGCCACCUCGGAGCGCCGCGUCGUGCCUCCCCACCCUCCCCUUCCUUUCCCUCUUCCUCUCCCUCUCCUUCUCUCACGACGCGACGGCUCACUGGGCAGGCUCGAGUGUGGCCGGCUUUCGACGAGACGAUGCGAUGGCCACCGGCAUGGGCGGCGCGACGCGCAGGCGCGGGCUCCCCCGCAGCGGUGCGUCGACGUGGACGGCCGGCAAAUGCCGCGGCAGCAUCGCCGACCUAGGGUUUCGUCCUCAGGUCAUCCCUCAUCCUCCCCUCUCUCCUGCGGCUCAAAAGCCUAGCCACCAGGUACGGAUGACUAUGGCUACUUCUCCUUCCCUAUUUGUGCUUGAACUUUAUUGUUUAAUUUUCUACAGUCAAAGAUUUAUUCCUUCUAAUUUGUAAUCUUGUACGCGUGCAGUUGCAGUAGAUUUGCCUACUGAUUUUCAGAUAUUUUUUGUAUAGUUUAUUAUCUUGUUUACUCCCAUAUAAAUCUAAACCUUGAUUCUAAAUGUUUCAUGAUAAGAAAUCAAUUGAACUUUAGUGUUUAGUUAGAUCUAUCUCUUUAGAUUUGUUACCUGGUGAACGUGCAUUUGUGGUAGAUUUGUCUGAUGAUUAUGAUUUCCUUUUUGUCUCCAAAGAUUAUUGCCUUGUUUAUUUUGCCCUAUAAAUUUGAACCUUGUUUUCUGAAUGUUUCAUGCUAAGCAAACAACGCCGUCGACGCUCGCAAGGCCAGCUGGAUCAGCAGCUCAGGGAAAAAACACAUGAUCAACUCCUCCGUGUUGACCACGUAGCAAACCUGGAAGCUCAGUCUGAAGCUACGCCAGAACGCUUGCGCUUACUCACUAUCUUUAGAUUUUUUUUUUGUCGAGAUUAACUAAUGAGUCUCUAACAUGAGAUUAACUAAUUGUUCCGAUAUUUUUUUCUGCCCAGAGUACCUUACGUUAGUGACUCAUUGUCUACUCAGUUUUCUUGCAGUAAGGUAUUGUGAUGUCCCCCUUUCUUUUUUUUCUCUUUGGUCACUUUGUCUAUUUGCUUGUUUUUUCCUUUCGAUCUUCAUCUCAGCUUUUGUUUUGCCUGGAACUGUUGAUCAAUGAUAAAGUUGCCUUGAUUUGGCUUAUACUCUACCACAUCGGAUGUUUGUGAUAUUGCCUAGCAUAAGUUUAAGAUACCUCCCAAUUGACUUUCGCUCCUGUUCCUCAAUUAAACUAUGCUAAAUAGACCUACAUUGUUAAUCAUGGUAUAUGUAGUGGGCUUAAUUAUUUAUCAUCCCAGUUUACUCUUCAGGAGCACUUACCUGCAGUUGGCUUGUAGCCUAUAAUGGAAUGGAGGCAUGGAUUAGUCCUUUGACCGUAUUAAUUGUUCUUAUGAGCUCCUAUAGGUUUCUUAGUUAACUUGACCAGCCAUCUAGAGGUCUCAUGGUUGUUCUCCAAUAAAUAUUGGUGGUCGUAUGCUAGCAUGGUUAAUAUUGGUAGUUUUUUCCAGGAAACACUUCAGAUCUCUAGGUUCCAGCUGAUUUUAUUGCAAUACUUCAUAUAGUUUCAAUGCCCUCCUCUAUUCCUUUUAUUUUCUUGUCCAUCCAUCUAAGGUCUGACAGACCUGCAGAUGCCAUCAUGCAGUCGAGACUGUUUAGAUUAAUGGGCUGCUUGGAAAUACUGAAGCAAAUGCUGGUGAUCCUCAGGUUGUUUACAAGCAUAAUUGGUUUCUACAAGCCCUAGGCUCAUUUUGAUGACUUCGACACCUUAUUGACCAUUCUCUAUUCCACGGGUUACUCAACAGGCUACUAUGAAAAUUCAGAGUACUUUGUGUUCAGCCUGCUGAAUGGUGUUACUUUUAGCAGGUGCCUAUCUGAUUUUGGUCGUCUUUCUAUUUUUGUGUUAUUUGACUUAUCAACAGUUUUGUCCACCAGAAAGCUAAAAGGGUGCACCACCAUCUUAAACGUGGGUCAUCUUCUUUUGUAGAAUGACAAGGGUCAGGCCUCAAGAAUUUCGUAGCUUUCAAUUGGUAGCGCCUAUUCAUAAACUAAUGUUUAUAAAAUAUUGCCUCUGUUAUUUCCUCAAGUAGAAUUGCUAGAACUUUAGGCAUCAACCUGCUUCAUACUAACCUUACAUAACAACUUUAUCAGACACAUGACGAUGUUUCUCUUUUCCUGUUAAACUCUCCAAUCUUAAUACAGUGGCACCUCCUAUUGUCAUUUAUAGUGUACCAAAACUUUAUUACAAACUUUA
Molecule: long non-coding RNA, 2257 nt
Organism: Sorghum bicolor (sorghum)
Lineage: Eukaryota; Viridiplantae; Streptophyta; Magnoliopsida; Poales; Poaceae
Exons: 4
Source: RefSeq, a predicted model, not a curated record